This is a long non-coding RNA of Xiphophorus couchianus (Monterrey platyfish), 2437 nucleotides long. RefSeq lists it as uncharacterized. The transcript has 2 exons. Lineage: Eukaryota; Metazoa; Chordata; Actinopteri; Cyprinodontiformes; Poeciliidae. The record is from RefSeq and is a predicted model, not a curated record.
AUAUAUAGAACUUUAUUUAAAAUAUUGUUACAAUUUAUUACUCUACACAACAUUUUUAAAACUUUUUUCUUCUUUUUCAUGUAUUUAUACUGGUUAGUAAACCUUCAAAGACCUUUUUAAAUAUAAAACCUUAUAGUUUUUUUUUAUUUUUUAGCUUGAGUUAAUUGUAGUCUUUAUACACUUAUUAAAUGAGAAACCGCAUGUCUUUUAACCACCGUUUGUGUUUAGGUAGUCUUCCGCGCAGCUGAACGAGCGCCUCAACGAUUGAAGCACGGGAAAUCCACCAAUCUUUACGAAAUCUGCUUCAUAAAGCAGAUUUCAAUAAAUAAAAGGCUCUGAGUUGGAGAAAAACGAGUCCGCUUCUUUUGUUAGGACUCUUUAAACAACACCUUAGUGAUGAAGAAGUUUAAUUUUUUUUUUUUUUUAUGUGUCAGCGUCUUCCUGCUGCUUUGGAAAACCUUUCAAAGCAGUUAACAGAUAACUUUAAGUAGGCAAAUAUUUUUAUAAACACAUCCACCUGUCAUCUUAAUUAAAGGUAAAAGAUGCAAACACUGAUCUGAUCUGGAUGAAUACUGAGUUUGCACUAGAGAUGCACCGAGAAGAACUGGGCGAAAAGGACAGAAAUCUAUUUUUUCCCAGUUAGUGAAGAGACUAUAAAAAAAACUAUACAAGUCAUAAUAACAACACUCUUCAGUGUGGACGUCAGAAGACGUCAAGCUAUUUUCAACCACAUACGUUGAAAGAAGUUAUUAAAAGGAAACUUUAAGUCGUUCAUUAAAUAGCGUUAGGUUCUCGGGGAUUACAAGAUGGCUGAUCGGAGUGAAGCAAACUUGCAUUUUUGGUCAUUUUGAGCUUCCAAACAGUCAUGAAAAAUACGGGAUUCUGUAGGAGUCUAAGUUUAACAUUAGAAGUGCUAAUUGUGCUAAUCAGUUUUACAAGAUACUGAGGGCAGCUUAAACUGUCUUCUUUAAACUUUAUGCUGUAUAUUUAAUAAUAUAUCUAUUUUACAGCAACUCAUCUCAAACACACACCCAGUGUGACGUCCCCUCUUAUUAGCUAAUGAUUGAAACCUCAUUUUACAUCCACGUGUUGCCAUUUCUGCUUCUAUUUUGAAAAGAAAAAAACAAAAAACUUUUCAUAUCCAUGUACUCAAGUCAUUUUUAUAGACGUUCGGUUUUCUGUGUAGUUCAGUAAUUUAUGAGUUAUGUAGACUAUUGCUUCAGUUUCACCCAUCGGUUGACUAUGAUUACUUUCUAGAGACUUUGUAUUACAGCCAAAUUCAAAAGAUUUUUGGUCCUGUUUUAUCCAGUUGACUGUUGUAAAUAUGACUGAUUACAAUCCAUAAUUAGGAGGAUAUUAACAUUUCGAUCCAUCCACAAAAUUACAACAGACUACAAGUGGGCACUAGAAAAAUUCAUUUAAAAAGUCGUUAGUUGUUAAAGCUUGUAGGCUACAAAGCGUUCCAAUGAAGAGUAAGAAUCUGUACUGGUCAUUUCGUCUCCAACAUUUUGUACUUUUGCAGUUUUGGUCUAUUCAUACUUGAAAAAGUCGGAUUCAUAAAGGAGCCGUCAGUCACAGGACGUUUUGUACCAACCAGGUGUCAUUUAAUACCCAGCUUGGGACGCUUCACACUGGCUUCGAGAACUGAGUCUUUCAUUCUAACUCUACCAAAAUUUGACUGUCUACUCAUAUAAACAGUCAGAGCGUAUUCGGUUUUGAUCAAGGAUCAUAAUCUCUCAUAUUUCAUAAGUGUCAAGUAGUCUAAACAACAAUCAGAAUCCCAAUCAAUGCAAAAAAGAUGGCAAAACAUUAAAGACUCAAAAACAAUAUGAAGUAUUAUGUUAUUAAAUUAAAGAGUGUCAAACUGCCUUGAGAAAUAAUCUGUACGCAUGCUAGCAAAAAUCCAGGAACUUUCAAAAAUGAACAUUUUACAUGGCAAUUUAUGGGACUAAGAAGUGAUUUUUGAAAAGUGGAUUAAUCACAACCAAUACAGUAAUUGCAAUUUUAAGUAAAAUUAAUGCAAUGAAAAAGGUUUUUAAUGAAGUGCAGCUUUUGUUUUCAUGCAUGCAAGUCUGAAUAUAUUUAUACUGGUCUUCAAUCACAUGCACAUAGCACACAUUGAGGCCACGCCCCCUACAUGCAGAGUGUGCUCUUCCAUCACAGGCACAGAUUGUUUGUAUUUCCAAAUAUGUCUAAUUGGAAAAAGGUUUUACUUGCAAAUGGGACACGGACGUCUGACAAAACAAAUAUAGUUACAUUUAUGUAAUUUAUUUCUAGCUAUUUCCCAUAAUUACAAAGGAAAGUUUCAAAUUUGACAUUUUUGAAAGUUUCUGACUUUGCAAUCCUGCUUGUAGAAGAGUUUUUGUUUUGGGGUCAAAUGGCAACACAUGGCUCUGCAGCAGAGGAAUAAACCUGCUAAAGGACAAAUAAAAAAAAA